Molecule: ribosomal RNA, 441 nt
Filed under: Uroteuthis edulis (swordtip squid)
Lineage: Eukaryota; Metazoa; Mollusca; Cephalopoda; Myopsida; Loliginidae
Description: partial 12S rRNA
Source: RNAcentral
AUACCAAUACUUUGAAUUUAUAUUUAAAUAGUGUAAAAUAAAGUAAUAAAAUUAAUAUUAUUAUUAGAAUUAAUGAGUAUAUAGAUUGUAGGUAAAAUUUAAUCUGUAUAAUUAAUUAUACUGUUCUAAAUUAAUAGGUUCUUUGAAAAUAAGGUUUAAGUAGACUAGGAUUAGAGACCCUAUUAUUCUUUAUUUUAAAAAUUUUAUUAUUUAAGUAGUAAGAGUUAUUAGCAAAUAUUUUAUUUAAUUUAAUUUUGUACUUGAAACUUAAAAGGCUUGGCGGUGUCAUAUAUCCUUCCAGGGGAGCUUGCUUAUUAAUUUGAUAUUCCUCAAUUUAUACUUACUUUCUUUUGAAUUAUAAAAAAUUGUCAGUUUGUGUAUUGCUGUCGUCAGUUUAUUUUGUAAAAAUUUUAGAAAAAACUUUGUAAUGAUUAGAUUAUG